Molecule: unclassified non-coding RNA, 7560 nt
Filed under: synthetic construct
Description: SCAFFOLD STRAND from synthetic construct (PDB 7AS5, chain AA)
Rfam family: RNA-OUT (bases 446-515)
Source: RNAcentral
UGUCUAAUGUAUGGACAGUGGAUAAACACGCGCCCUGUAGCGGCGCAUUAAGCGCGGCGGGUGUGGUGGUUACGCGCAGCGUGACCGCUACACUUGCCAGCGCCCUAGCGCCCGCUCCUUUCGCUUUCUUCCCUUCCUUUCUCGCCACGUUCGCCGGCUUUCCCCGUCAAGCUCUAAAUCGGGGGCUCCCUUUAGGGUUCCGAUUUAGUGCUUUACGGCACCUCGACCCCAAAAAACUUGAUUUGGGUGAUGGUUCACGUAGUGGGCCAUCGCCCUGAUAGACGGUUUUUCGCCCUUUGACGUUGGAGUCCACGUUCUUUAAUAGUGGACUCUUGUUCCAAACUGGAACAACACUCAACCCUAUCUCGGGCUAUUCUUUUGAUUUAUAAGGGAUUUUGCCGAUUUCGGGUAGAAUUGGUAAAGAGAGUCGUGUAAAAUAUCGAGUUCGCACAUCUUGUUGUCUGAUUAUUGAUUUUUGGCGAAACCAUUUGAUCAUAUGACAAGAUGUGUAUCUACCUUAACUUAAUGAUUUUGAUAAAAAUCAUUAUAAUGCCAGGGUCAGUGAGAUGUAACACUACAGACCUCAGCUUCCUCUACUUUGCCUGGCAUAGCCUACUGCACCAUCCUUUUCAAUGGAAGUAAUUUGUCCCCCAUGGGUUACACCCCCACCUAGACUACUUAAGAAGGUGCUAUUGCUCCUGAUUUCCAAUGUUUGAAUCUCCCUCCCACCAUACCAGGCAUAAAGGCUGUCACUCCCCAAUACUAAGUGGCCCCAAGUUCACCACAAUACAGCCAAGUGCAUUGUUAUCACAUUCAGUCAAAGAAUUUUCAUUGGCAACAGUCCUCUCCAAUCUGCCUAUUCACUGUCCCUACAUCAGGUGAUAGUCCAGUUGUCAGACAUGUGAUCCCUGUUUGGGGACCCACAAGGCCUAUCCAACCCAUUGCUUUUAAAAGAGCUGGGGUUCUGGUGACUUCCACAACAAGCCCAUCUGCUCUUAGUACAGCUUGUCUUAAAAUUAGCUAGACACUGUAUCAUACCCCCUCCACUGCCCUAUGAUAAGGACAGCAGAGGGUUAGAUUUACUUAUCUGCACUCAUGUGCCCCCAGCCUGGUACCAAAACUGAUAAUCUACUCCACAGCUGCAUACCUGCCAUCUUAGCCAAACCACACCAAUCCAAUUGCUGGGUCUCAUAUCAUCUCUGAAGAAGUGAUUACCUCAUUACAUGCUUGCUUGAUAUACCCACUUUCCUUAUGAGGCACACCCAUACUGAGGUAGCUAUUUUACUAUUGACUGGGUAAGCCAGUACAAAAUAAUCAUAGGUGCACAGUCUGGACAUGGGAACCCCUCUUCCUACUCACCUCUCUCAGAGGCAAUGCCCCUUCAUUAACCAUGCACCCUAGGCCUUGGUACAAGUUGCCAACCUGCAGAGAACCAGUUAGCUGAAAGGCCAGGUUCUUCUUGAUCUUGGUGCUUAGGGCAAACUUUUGGGAUAGGCAAAAACAAGUCCUUUACACACCUCCAGUCUACAGUUCCAUCAAAGUGGAACUUGGAAUGUUAUAAACUGCAUCUAUACUGUACUGCUAGUAGGCUUGUUUAAUGCUUUCAACUCCUAGAGAAUCACUUCAAUCCUACCAACCAAUAGUUCCCCAUCACACAGAUGGCUAAAGACCCUACCUCCCCUAAAGCCCUACUUCACACUGCAGGGACCUCCUAAGGGUCUUGGACCCUCCUCACUUGUUACUAGGCUAUCAUUCUACUGGUGCAGAUACAGAUUUUAGGUACCUGUCCUUGAUGCACUUAGCUUUAACAUGUCACAUGCCAAUGAAAAUAGCAGCCACAGGGGGAUAUUCUAGGAGCAACAUGGAGACUGUCUGCUACAACCACCAAACAGCUCAUCCUCUGCAUGAAUACUUACUCUAGACCCCUGCAUUCACCUUCCAUGAUUAAUCACCAACUGAGUCUUGCAAAACCCAAUUAUGGUUAUAGACAGACUGGCCCAUGUUACCACUUAAACUCCAUCUAGUCUGCAGUGUUCUGACCUAUGCCUGAGGGUCCAGAUAACCACUCUUCACUAAGCCCCCUGGAAGACAGUUAAGUCUAUCUAUCAGCCUCACAUCCAUCCCAUUCUCUCUUUGAGAUCUUAUCAGGACUGAUUGUAUGUGAACAAUAUACUCCCAGGCUGGCCAUUAGAGAUUGGUUAGUGGUUGGCUGGACCAACACCCUUAAGCAACUAAUAAGACCAUGUGGGGUGUCCAGGCCUCAUAAAUCCUGAGCCUCUCAAUCUUCCAGUGGCUCACCAUUCCCAUCCACACAACCUAUUGGAACCAUCAGAGUCAUCACCUAUAUAGGGUGAAGUAGAGCUCCACCACCCCAUAACUAUACAGUGCACCUGGCCUCUGAGACUUGCUGUGAUAACACAAACCCCAGGGCCAAAUUGGGAAGAUGCAAUGACAUUCCAUUACUUCUCCAGGACAACAUUUAUUUGUUGCUGACUCCAGACUUAACAAGGAGUAUUUGAGGCCACUGUUGGGGCCCUAACCCACCCAGCUCUUGACAGCUAAUCUUAACCUCAAGGAUUGACCAUUGGGGGAGUCAACCAGCUUUGGCCCUGCUCAAGCAAACAAUCCCCAGAUGACCUGCUGGCAGGCACCCCUAGAAAUAUUGUGGGUUGCACUAUUUCUUGCUCAGAUGCUUCCCACUAUAGCCCCACUCCAACUAGUACCACAUCAUUUUAUGGAUCAAUCACAAAGGAGCCCCUAUAGGCUGAUUCUGUGUUUCAAAAAGUGAAGCCUAUGUGCUCCAUUGAGUCAGUAAAUUAACACCACUAGAAGUUAUCCAGCUAGUCAAGGGUUUUCCAUAUGUCCCAAGGUACUAGCUACAGCACUUGAAUAUGGUCUACUAUGAGUGGGACUAUUAAUGUCAUCUUUCUGUAUAGCUGCCCCAUUUAAAGCAUAUAUGAAGUGCUAACAUUGUGUUGGAUCUUUAUGCCACCAGAUCCCCCUUACAGUAUUCUCACCCAAAUGGGAUGAGAGUUGUAUUAAGGCUAGUUAAUCCCUAAGUCCAUACAUAGGACCACAGUAGCUUGGCUAUGCUCACAAUUUGCCAUGUAUAUCAGUCCCAGAGGUAUGCAAGACAUUGCCCACAUUUCAGAAUGGUCCUGUCUUGUGGUUCCUUGCCUUUUGCACAUUACCCUUGGCCUUCUACAUAAUGUGAGUCCUGGCUGCAAUCUAUGUAUUGAAAGUAGGUAACCCUUCUCAUUGUCAAGAACAUCUGUUCCUAGCCACCCUGACCCUGCCUCCCUGAAGCUGCUCCCAUAGGCCCACUGAUCUCACUGCUUCUAAUUGCAUCCCUUGACUCUCUAUCCCCUGAGAAUUCCUGCUUGUGCAGCCUUGUGAGCCACUACCCAGUCAGGGUGUUAAGCCUUACCAUGACCAGGUGCCCUCUAUGACUAGCCCAAGACUCACAGACAGGAUAGCCAGCUGUACCCCACACUCCUCUUGCCCUGGGCACUCUCAUCAGUACCCUCAAUAACCUAGCUGUCCACUCACUAUCCUCAGACCAAUUCUCCUUCUGCCAAAGGUCCAACAUAGAGGACUCAUCUGGGCUCAGGCAACUCAGGGCAUAUGGGACCAUAGCUCAACUACAAUAAAACCAGGGGCCACAUAAGCUAGCAAUCAGUGGGUGUAAGUGUCUGGGUGCAUCAGCUGGUAAGACUGCCAGAUUCUAUGCAGGCCAAUCAUGAACCUACUAGUCCCUCAUGGUCACUUUGUUCAUCUAACAGAUAGUUGCUUCAAACUCAAGACCUUACUAACCUUAGUCACUGGUUCUACCAGCCCAGGAAUCCUCCUUGGGCUAGCCUCCAAGAAGCUUCAGACUCCUUAAUACCAAGCAGCAGGAACAGUUUCAGCACCAAGAGGUGAGAACUGCUGUUAGCAUCACUGACUUACAAUCUCAUGAUAGCUAAGCAUUCUUAGAACUCUUAUAUAACUCCCUAUUACCAGAGACAGCCCUCAGGAUUACUGAUGGACCUUCUUCAAGUCUUUUCUAGCACAGGACCUACAGGGAGAGGGAAAGUCAGCUCCUAUGGGGAAUACAAGAGUUAGUCUUCAGUUUGUGGCUGAGGCUUCUUUGUGCUGGUUGCCUCUAAGACAAAUUAUUCUGGAAUCUAAUCAAGUUUACAAGGUCAGCAUUAUGACCCAGGUCAAUAGCUUCUGGGAGGCUCUUCUAGUUUCCACCUUUGUACCAGUAUCCUAUUUAAGAUAGGUCAUGCAUAGGGCUCUACACAAUGAGUUCAGAGCCUUUGCAGCUUAAGGAAAUCUCUCCUCCAUAAAAGUUCUGCUUUGAUGUCAAUUCCCCUUGUACUUCCUGUGACUGCAACACAGUUGGACUGGUAUUCCUCAACAUCAACAAUUAGUAAAAGCAAUGGUUGUGACCAAGGAAUGAGACCAGCAAUUAAUUGACAUAGUUUAACUGUCAAACACUGAGAGAUGGAGCCUGCAAGUGGGGCUUAUCCCACAGAGUACUGUUUUCUGAGGAGCUGAGUUAACAGGUGGAGAAAAUCCCAAAGAUACUCUCCCAAUGGCCAGUCCAAGCUUGAAGUCAAUGCAACCUCUAGUAAUAGGUAGAGGCUGCCACAAAUGAUGCCUACAAAGAGUAAACUUCUAUAUGUGGUAAUGGCAUCCAAGUAAAGGGCUAAUGCAGAACAGAGCUUUUGUUAAUGGGCAAGCUACUACUAAACCCUCUGGAGCAUGUGUUAGUAGAUACCUUCAACCUUGGAGCUCACUCAGAAAAAGCCUGAACCCAGAAUUAAAACAUCCUGGUGUACUCUGGCACCAGUGACACCAUGGCUUUUUCAGGCCCCUGUGCCUGUUGCAUGCAAACCUAAGAGUCUAAAGGUAAUCUGUCAGCCAGGAGAGUGGUCUCCAUGCCUCAGUGUGUAGGUGGGCAGUCAUUCCUAUACCAUAUAAAAUGGAGUACAUCUACAAGCACUGGACUACCUAGGUUUCCUGGAUAGUAACUCUAACCAGACACACAUGGCCUGGAGUGGAGUUACCCAACAGAACCCUGUCAUAUUUCCUAAUCCACUAAAGUCUGUUACAUACAGGCAGUUUUUGCUCUCUGCUGCCUGCCCAGCAGCUAUGGUGAUCAACUGGCUAGAAUGACUUGUGUACCUACCCUAAUUUUAAUUUCACUCUGACAUGCAGUUCAACAGGCUACCCCUUUUUAUUGGUGGCUACAUUUGGCUUAAUUCUAACUGGUCAGAGAUAAAGCUCAGCAGUGAUAUGAGCCCUUAGGAAAAUUCCAGAGCACACACUAGCAGAUGUUUUAUCAUGGAAUAUUAUCAAUGUAGCUCUGGGGGUAACUUUGAAAAGCUGUUCACUUACCUUUCCAGGGAUAACUUGCAUUUAGACAUACUAGAUUAUCUUACAUUCUGAUAUCACUAGUGUCCUGAAACAGGGCUUCAUCAUAAUCCUUGUCACCUGUUAAACCUUUUAUAUGCCCUUGCUAGGGCCCAACUCUGUCUCCUGUAAAGUUAAAGUGCCUUCAGGAAGUUGGUGAGUAGACCUGAAUAAUUCAUACUUUAUCUCCUACACCAGGAUGACUCAGUAGGACAUCUCAGUCUCUAAUACUCAUACAAAUACACUCUAUUAGGGGCUGGGACACCUGAUCCAGAAACAAAGUUUCUUAAGUACCUCUGUACAAUUGAAGAUAAUGGUACUCAAUGAUAUUUUGUGAUUCAAAUUUACAGAGAGCAGUAAUGUUCCCAGUUUAUCCUUAGAUAGAGCAAAAGAUUAAAGAACCUGGUUAAUAUUUAGGAUCUGAUGAUCCUGCACACUUCUGAAUGCCUUGAAAUUCUUGUCCAUUCAAUACCCUGGUCUUAGGCCAUAUCCUGUUCUAGAACACUUAUGCACAAUCAAUAUGCAUGGGCUGUGUGAGGGCUGCUAUCUGUAGGCACUAAUGGAUUUGUAAGCUGGCUCUGUUUCUCUUACUUUCAGUAUACCUAUCAAGGUUUUGGUGUUGAAACCUGACUGACCACUGGCAAAGGGUGGGAAACUUAGGUUCCCUAGUAUGCUAGCUUAGCAACCAUAAGGUCUAUUGUCUCAAAUCAAAAUCUAGGGGAACAUGAUCUGGAUGCCCAUAUUCAAGCCAACAAAUCUUGAACUGGGAUUCCAAGGGCCUAACAACUAUUCCACUUGGCACUUUAGCAGGCUCAUUCAUGCUCUGAUCAGUUGCAAUUUAUGAAACUGUAGUCUCAGGUCCUAGGAAUUAUAGGUUGUACACUGGGCCUCCUGGGAAUUGUUUGCUACUUGACCUCUUUCAUGUACAUGUUGAUGGGGUAGUACUAAUUAAGAGCCAUAGUCAUAAGUAGUUGGGCAUGCUGAAUCAUCCAGUAGAAGGCUCCAGCAUGAGGUGGCAUUGAUGAACAGCCUAAGCUUAUUGCAAGCAUGGCACAUAGCACCUAACUUCAUGACUGUUAUUCAUUUACCUGAGUAUAGGAUUUCAUAUAGAUCCAAAUAGGAACUAAGGUUCAUAGUAGCCAUCAUGUUCAAAGCUAUAACAAACAUUAAAUAUAUCCAUGUCCUAAAUGCAUUAGGUGAACCAAGUCACAGGUACAGAAAGGGGAUGCAGCACAAAAAUUGAUACUUGUAGAAAGAGGAUUCAGAUAUAUUGAGCUGUGCUACCAUUAAUAAAGAUGGGUCCCAUGAAGAGCAUCUUCUGUUGUUAGGUCUGACUAUGGCAGCAAAUCCAGGUAAGGCAAGGACUAGUUCUCAAGUGACCUUUAAGUUGACUUUUAGCCUGUAUUUCAAGGCUUAGAGGGCACAACUGUGUCUAUAAAUUGCCUAAUGAAUCCAUAGACUUUACCAAUGCUGUCUAGAUAUGCUUAAAGGAAGAGUGUUGUAGUGUAUGAACUUUCUAUUUGCUGCUGAGAUAUUAGUUGUGGAUCCUAGUUGAAUUUCUAAGUUAGGCAGGUAUCUGGCUUGCAGGAUCCAUUUCUGCAAAGUAAGAGGGGGUCAUUGCAGACCCAUGCUAUGUCUGUGAAAGAUCUGUGCAUAUCUAGAGGUUAGGACUUCAGCUACCUGGGUUUGCAUAAGAAUAAGCAGACUAAAAGGCAUGACAGAAGACUUCUUAUGGGUAGCAGUCUUAUUUUUAGAGUUCUUGGGAGAUCAGAUCUAAGGAGAUUCACAAGAAACUAGAGUAGCAUUGGAGAUGAGUAACAUAUACACAUAUUACUACAUGGUUUACUGCCUUAAAUGUGGCCUAGGGUAUUAUGCUGGAGAGCUAGGUGUCAGUUCUAAAAAGGAUAAGUCAUGGGGGCCUUUCACAGCAAGUUACAAACUAUGUUUAGUAUCAGAACUUAUUAAACAUAACAGUAACCAAAGCCAUGGUAUGAUGUACUAUCUUUUUGUAGCACUAGGAUACUAUAUUAACUACUCUUUAGUUUUGUCAUGAGAAGUACACCUUAUAGCAUAGAUUGAAUGGGUGGAUGUCUCUGUGGAGGUGUGUGCUUGGAUUAGAUGGUGUGAAUAGAAAACUAAAUACUGGAUUGGACAAGUGUU